Molecule: long non-coding RNA, 1278 nt
Filed under: Anas zonorhyncha (Eastern spot-billed duck)
Lineage: Eukaryota; Metazoa; Chordata; Aves; Anseriformes; Anatidae
Description: lncRNA (ENSAZOG00000014237.1)
Source: RNAcentral
UCGCGCUCCGCGGCCAGAAGUGUGCACAAACUCAUGCACGGAGGUGCUGCUGGCACGGCACGGCACGGAGCAGCCCUGUAGUACUCACUGCUGACCCACUGCACCUUCCCCAGCACAUCCCGCACCGGCACCAGUUCGCAAACUGGUUGUGCUGGGAAGCUGCCUCUGGGGACGGGUGCGGUGCCCCGCAGAGGGUCUCCGAUCGAGGAGCUGUAAAGUUCGCGUGCAAGCAGCACAAGAACUGCUCAAACAAGGCUGAAGAACACGAAAAUCAGGCAGAGAAAAAGAAGCAUGCUUUCCCCUUACCUAUUGCCUCUGCUCAAACGCCGGGCAGUGCCUUUAGGGAGCCCGGGCAUUUGGAGCCACCGGGCAGAGGACUUUGGGCACAUGCACCCAGAGCCCGGCAAAAGCCAUCUUCUCCCUGCCUCUUAGCACGGUGCAAGCCUCCAGCAGCUCAGCUCUCCAGCUGCAAACAUCUCAUUAGACUAAUGCAUUCAGCACAGGCAGAAAACUCGAUUUACCAUAGCUACAGCAAUGAAUUUCCAUUACGAUGACAGCUUCAACCACAUCAUGUCCGGAAAACCAGCCAACCACUGCCUUUUAAAGAACACACACAUUUUACACGCAGAAAACGAGGGCCCGUGUGCCGUGUCUCCUUUCUCUUCCCGGCUAAACGGAGAAAAAAUUGCCAUGUCUGCCUAGUUCAGAGCUCCACGACCCAAAAGGUAAAGGCAGACGGACUUUUUUCUUUUUUUUUUAUUCCCCCACAUAGCAGCAGCUUUCGCAGCAGCGUGCGGUGCGGUGCACCGAGCCGAGCGGGUGCUUGCAACAUUUCUACAUUUUACCUACCCCUCCUCUGUUGCCAUAGAAACCUGCCUGUAUCAUCGUCCCUUUGUCCCGAUCCUGCAGCAAUGUGGCCCGAUACCGAGCUACCGUGAGGGGCAGGACCGGGCGCUCCAGUUUGGGAUAAAUGAGAUGCCAACUGGGGGAGUGGUGCUUGGGACCUUUGUGCCGGCAACCCCAGGAGCACCUGGGUACUGCAGUGCCCACACUCACACAUCUCCACGCACGUACACGGAGCCUGGAGCCCAAAGAUAUAUCUUACAGCAGACUUCCAAUGGACCACAUAUCUGCCUGUCUGGUGCUAGCAGUGAUGCUCAAACCCCAAUGCACCUGCAGAUGCUGCACAAGAAGGUCACGCAUUCACUGCCCUGUUGAUGCAAGUGUUUCCAAAUCUGUCCCCUGCAGAACACAUGCAAUGCUGCAGCAUCACACAAC